RNAcentral lists this ribosomal RNA (253 nucleotides) under uncultured Sphingomonadales bacterium. RNAcentral's name for it is "partial 16S ribosomal RNA". It matches the Rfam family "Bacterial small subunit ribosomal RNA", at positions 524 to 776 of the family's 1533-position model. Lineage: Bacteria; Pseudomonadati; Pseudomonadota; Alphaproteobacteria; Sphingomonadales. The record is from RNAcentral.
UACGGAGGGAGCUAGCGUUGUUCGGAAUUACUGGGCGUAAAGCGCACGUAGGCGGCUACUCAAGUCGGGGGUGAAAUCCCGGGGCUCAACCCCGGAACUGCCCUCGAAACUAGGUAGCUAGAAUCUUGGAGAGGUCAGUGGAAUUCCGAGUGUAGAGGUGAAAUUCGUAGAUAUUCGGAAGAACACCAGUGGCGAAGGCGACUGACUGGACAAGUAUUGACGCUGAGGUGCGAAAGCGUGGGGAGCAAACAGG